Molecule: long non-coding RNA, 703 nt
Filed under: Sus scrofa (pig)
Lineage: Eukaryota; Metazoa; Chordata; Mammalia; Artiodactyla; Suidae
Description: lncRNA (ENSSSCG00035020840.1)
Source: RNAcentral
GUUAAAGGGAAUGGGUCUCGGAAGCCGAGGGUCUGAAGUUCAAGACUCCUAGAAGGGGAGGGGAAUGAAAGCCACUCAGUGAAGAAGGUAAAACAAAUACAGUCUAUCUCUGACUUACAAUGGUUCGCCCUAAGAUUUUUGGACUUCAUGAUGGUGUGAAAGCAAUAUGAAUUCAGUAGAAACCGAACUUCAAAUUUUUGAAUUUUCCUCUGUUCCCAAGCUAGGGAUGUACUAUUGGAUACGCUCGGAUACCCUCUUGUAUGCUGGACAGUGGCAGCAAGCAGCUCCCAGUCGGCCAUGCAAUCAGGAGGGUAAACAAUGGACACACUUCCAAUUAUUCCGGACCCAGACGACCAUUCCUCUUUCACCUUCAGUACAGUAUUUGAUGAAUUGCAUGAGAUAUCGAACACUUCAUUAUAAAAUAGGCUUUGUGGGAGUUCCCGUCAUGGCGCAGUGGUUAAUGAAUCCGACUAGGAACCAUGAGGUUGCGGGUUUGGUCCCUGUCCUUGCUCAGUGGGUUGAGGAUCCGGCGUUGUCGUGAGCUGUGGUGUAGGUUGCAGAUGCAGCUCGGAUCCUGCAUUGCUGUGGCUGUGGCAUAGGCCGGUGGCUGCAGCUCUGAUUCGACCCCUGGCCUGGGAACCUCCAUAUGCCGCUGGAUUGGCUCAAGAAAUAGCAAAAAGACAAAAAAAAAAAAAAAAANAAA